This is a long non-coding RNA of Triplophysa dalaica, 754 nucleotides long. RefSeq lists it as uncharacterized. The record is from RefSeq and is a predicted model, not a curated record. The transcript has 3 exons. NCBI's taxonomy places the organism in Eukaryota, Metazoa, Chordata, Actinopteri, Cypriniformes, Nemacheilidae.
AAAACUCUUACUAUGAAAACGGCGUUAGGCUGCGUCGUUUAGCGCAUUCUUCGGUUCACACAGCAGCACACAUUGGAGUUAACAUCAAAAGCAGAGUAACGUUACAAGAAAAGUGGAUGCAUGUCUCUUUGUUCAACAAGUAAAUGGCGAUUCAUGUGAGGCAACUAAGCUAUAUGAAAGAGAAGCGCUGCACACAAAUCUGUUGAAUGUGAAUGAGAACAUGUUGCAGCAUCUGGUAUUUUGAGAGUCGAAUGACUUGUCCAGCUCAGCCUUCUCUUCAACAGCCUCACAACAAUUUCUUGCCCAAAAAUGCUGACCGAACUGUAGCACUGAUCUUGACCAUUCUGACAAGCGGUAAGUGGUAAGAAUCGGUAGCCAUCUCCUCCACAGCGACCCUGUGUCCCGGUUUCUCCCUAUGUUUGCCCGAGGACUACAUUACUUACAGUCCUCCACGCUCCCGAAUCUGUUUCGUGUCUGCAAUCCCCACACCUGUCAACAGUCCCCACACCUGUCAACAGCCCCCUCACCACCCAUGAACUAUAUAUUCUGUACCUGUGUGUUCUGUCAGUGUAGCCUUUCACCUGUGAGUGACACCUCAAAUUUUAGAAGAUUAUUGGUGAAGAGCCAUGAUUACAAUAUUUUGGGAAAUAACUGCAGCUGCUUAAAAUGUCGACAUUUUCAUAUCAAUCACUGGGAUGUCGGAUUCAUGUUAGAACAUCAGCUUCAUUGGGUUAUUUUUAAAAGAAUCGGUUUA